CUCCAAUCUCUGGAUUCAACAAGUUUUGUAGGAACAGGCACGUGAAUCCUUGAGGAAUAACCAAGCCCAAGCCAACGAUGUUAAAUUUGUUAUGUGUUUCUCAGAGUAUGUGAUCAUUAGCAACCAUCGUGAUGCCUAGAUAUAUGGGCAGUCAAUCCCAACAUUUGUACAUGAGUUAUGCUCGAGUUGCAGGGAGGUUAUCCAAGCGGAAAAAGAAAGCAUCCACGCCAGGUGAAACAACAAGCUAAUGCAACCGGGGCAUUUUGCAUU
Molecule: long non-coding RNA, 270 nt
Organism: Triticum dicoccoides
Lineage: Eukaryota; Viridiplantae; Streptophyta; Magnoliopsida; Poales; Poaceae
Exons: 3
Source: RefSeq, a predicted model, not a curated record